GCCGGUGAGCUUACCUGGAAGGCCACACCCGUUCCCAUUCCGAACACGGUCGUUAAGCUUCCAGGGCCGAUGAUAGUGCUUCCAGCGCGAAAGUAGGUUAUUGCCGGCU
This 109-nucleotide ribosomal RNA is filed under the name Telmatocola sphagniphila. The record is from RNAcentral. Lineage: Bacteria; Pseudomonadati; Planctomycetota; Planctomycetia; Gemmatales; Gemmataceae.